UACGUAGGGGGCAGGCGUUGUCCGGAUUUAUUGGGCGUAAAGAGCGUGUAGGCGGCCAGGUAGGUCUGCUGUGAAAACUCGAGGCUCAACCUCGAGAUGUCGGCGGAAACCAUCUGGCUAGAGUCCGGAAGAGGAGAAUGGAAUUCCCGGUGUAGCGGUGAAAUGCGCAGAUAUCGGGAAGAACACCCGUGGCGAAGGCGGUUCUCUGGGACGGUACUGACGCUGAGGCACGAAAGCGUGGGGAGCAAACAGG
RNAcentral lists this ribosomal RNA (253 nucleotides) under uncultured bacterium. Its description in RNAcentral is "partial 16S ribosomal RNA". It matches the Rfam family "Bacterial small subunit ribosomal RNA", at positions 524 to 776 of the family's 1533-position model. The record is from RNAcentral.